This is a long non-coding RNA of Eurytemora carolleeae, 698 nucleotides long. RefSeq lists it as uncharacterized. NCBI's taxonomy places the organism in Eukaryota, Metazoa, Arthropoda, Copepoda, Calanoida, Temoridae. The record is from RefSeq and is a predicted model, not a curated record. The transcript is spliced from 3 exons.
CGAACUGCUUUAAAGCUUGGUUUUGACUCCGUCUACAGCAGAAUGUCUUACAAAUACAAAGUUCUGAAUUAUCAUUUAUAAUCUAAUAUUGUUUAAACUUAUAUUUCAUGAAAAUUAAAAAAGAAAUUUUGAAUUGCCUUUCAAAUUAUAAAUCUACUUUAAAGCUUAAUGCUACCACGUUUCCAAGAUGGAGACGAGUAAAACAAAAUGGAGACGAUUAGGAACAAAUGGACUAGAAGAGAAAACAGAUGGAAAUGCAAAAUGGGGACUUUGAAAAGAAUUCCUCAAAAGAAGAUAUAAAGAGUUAAGCCUGGAGGGAGAAAUAUGGCUUUCUGUUAAAACCAGUCAGUCUUUUUCUCUCUUCAUUUGAUACUCGUACACUCAUCAUUCUACACAGACUCUACACAGACUCUACACAGACUCUACACAGACUCUACAUCAAAUUUGGCAGAUUUCUUAUUUCAAAUAUUUGGGGUAUUUUCAAAAAGUCAGAAUAGACAACAAGUACAUGACUGAACCCUGAUUGGAUCAGGCGCUAAUGGAUCGGCAUACAGGAGUGACAGAUUAACUUCAUCCAUCAUUCCUCGAGGAUUUUCCGUGAAGGUUAUACCGUGCAGAACUAUAAGUGACCACAAAGGAUAUUUACCUGGAUGCCUUGCAGAAACUAGCUCUUCAACAUGCAAAAACUACGCAGGUAA